AUGGCGAACCCCCUAGCCGGGCUGCAGGACCACCUCAAGCACGCGCGCGACUACGCGCUCGAGGGCCUCUACGACACAUCCAUCAUCUUCUUCGACGGCGCCAUCGCGCAGAUCAACAAGCAUCUAGCUAAUUUAGAUGACACCUUUAUCCGCACAAAAUGGAUGAACUGUAAGAAAGCUAUAAGUGAAGAGGUAGAGAUUGUUAGGCAGCUCGAUACCCAAUUGAAGUCAUUUAAAGAAGCCCCUGGGACAAUGCGGUCCUCGUCGCCUCCUAUUCGCUCUAAUAAUAAAUCAUUUCUGUUCCAACCAUUGGACGAGUAUCCAACAUCAUCGCCAUCAACCUUUGACGACCCUGAUGUGUGGGCACCUCCAAGAGAUACAAAUACACCAAACCGAAGGUCAGCAAGAGGCCAAUCUAGUGCAAGAAAAUCCUCCCAAGAUGGAGCUUGGGCACGGGGUCCAUCAAAGACUGGAACACCUAGCCGUGGUGCAAAACCCAGCGGAAGUAAAGCAAACUCUGCGGUAAGAUCAUCAACUGCUUCAAGCACUGGCGGGAGGAAAGGAAAAUCAAGUUCGAGCAAGGCUGAUUCAGCGAGCAGCGAUGCUGAAGAAGGUAAGUCCAAGAAGGCACAGUAUGAAGGACCGGAUGGGGACUUAGCUGCCAUGCUUGAAAGAGAUGUUCUAGACUCUACCCCAGGAGUGAGAUGGGAUGAUGUUGCAGGACUUAGUGAGGCCAAAAGACUCCUUGAGGAAGCAGUUGUGCUUCCUCUCUGGAUGCCUGAAUAUUUUCAGGGUAUUCGUCGACCUUGGAAAGGGGUUCUUAUGUUUGGCCCACCAGGUACCGGGAAGACCCUUCUAGCUAAGGCAGUAGCUACAGAAUGUGGAACAACAUUCUUUAAUGUUUCGUCUGCAACAUUGGCUUCGAAAUGGCGGGGGGAGAGUGAGCGCAUGGUCCGUUGUUUAUUUGAACUUGCAAGGGCCUAUGCUCCAAGUACAAUCUUCAUUGAUGAAAUAGACUCCCUAUGCACAUCUCGUGGAGCUUCUGGUGAGCAUGAAUCAUCGAGGAGGGUAAAGUCUGAACUUCUAGUGCAAAUAGAUGGUGUUAACAAUAGCUCUACCAAUGAAGAUGGUCAGCCGAAAAUUGUUAUGGUUCUGGCAGCUACCAACUUUCCAUGGGAUAUUGAUGAAGCACUCAGGCGGAGGCUGGAAAAGCGUAUCUACAUUCCACUUCCAAGUUUUGAAAGCAGAAAAUCACUCAUCAGCAUAAAUCUUAGAACGGUUGAGGUAGCUACUGACGUUAACAUCGACGAAGUCGCACGAAGGACAGAAGGGUAUAGUGGGGAUGACCUGACAAAUGUUUGCCGUGAUGCUUCGAUGAAUGGUAUGAGGCGAAAGAUUGCAGGCAAGACCCGUGAUGAGAUCAAGAACAUGUCAAAGGAUGAUAUCUCAAAGGACCCGGUAGCCAUGUGUGACUUUGAAGAAGCUUUGGUCAAGGUCCAGAAGAGUGUGUCGCCCUCUGAUAUCGAACGGCACGAGAAGUGGAUGGCCGAGUUUGGAUCUGCUUAA
Molecule: ribosomal RNA, 1566 nt
Filed under: Triticum aestivum (bread wheat)
Lineage: Eukaryota; Viridiplantae; Streptophyta; Magnoliopsida; Poales; Poaceae
Description: partial small subunit ribosomal RNA
Source: RNAcentral